RNAcentral lists this ribosomal RNA (472 nucleotides) under uncultured bacterium. RNAcentral describes it as "bacterial SSU rRNA". It matches the Rfam family "Bacterial small subunit ribosomal RNA", at positions 28 to 484 of the family's 1533-position model. The record is from RNAcentral.
GGUGAACGCUAGCUACAGGCUUAACACAUGCAAGUCGAGGGGCAUCAGGAAGAAAGCUUGCUUUCUUUGCUGGCGACCGGCGCACGGGUGAGUAACACGUAUCCAACCUGCCCUUUACUCGGGGAUAGCCUUUCGAAAGAAAGAUUAAUACCCGAUGGGAUAAUUAUUCCGCAUGGUUUCAUUAUUAAAGGAUUCCGGUAAAGGAUGGGGAUGCGUUCCAUUAGGUUGUUGGUGAGGUAACGGCUCACCAAGCCUUCGAUGGAUAGGGGUUCUGAGGAGGAAGGUCCCCCACAUUGGAACUGAGACACGGUCCAAACUCCUACGGGAGGCAGCAGUGAGGAAUAUUGGUCAAUGGGCGCUAGCCUGAACCAGCCAAAGUAGCGUGAAAGGGAUGAAGGCUCUAUGGGUCGUAAACUUCUUUUAUAUAAGAAUAAAAGUAGCAGUAUGUAUACUGUUUUGUAUGUAUUAUAUG